Molecule: ribosomal RNA, 320 nt
Filed under: uncultured bacterium
Lineage: Bacteria
Description: bacterial SSU rRNA
Rfam family: Bacterial small subunit ribosomal RNA
Source: RNAcentral
AAGUACCCCGUAACGAGCGCAACCCUUGUUCUUUAGUUUAACCCCGCCAAACGGUAAAUGGGUGGUGGGCAAUUUAAGGGGAACGGCCGGGGAACCAAAACCGGGAGGGGAAAGGUGGGGGGAUGAACGUCAAGUCAUUCAUGGGCCCUUACCGGGCCUGGGGGCUACAACAACGUGGCUACAAUGGUUCGGUACAGAGGGUUGCCAAGCCGCGGAGGUGUAGCUAAUCCCAUAAAACCGAUCGUAGUCCGGAUCGCAGUCUGCAACUCGACUGCGUGAAGUCGGAAUCGCUAGUAAUCGCGAAUCAGAAUGUCGCGGUG